UAUAAGAAGGGUACGAGGAAUGGACCCAAAGCCCUAAAGCCUAUUCCAGUGAUAGUGCGUUGCAGGGGUACUUAAUAUAUCUGUUGCCCAACAAUGGUUGAAGUCUGCUAAUGGUCAGAAGUCACUGUGAAUUUGUGCGCUGAAUUUCGUAAUCCUCAAUACGCGCAAUCUGUUGUUGGAUGUCCAUACAUAAUUUUAGCCUUGCAGUGGAAACAGAAGAUUCAGAUUUGUCUCAUGGCCUUUGCACUAUUUGCAACCUGGGCUAUUGGUAGAUAAAAAAAUUGGUACAGACCUGUUAUUAUGCUUA
Molecule: long non-coding RNA, 307 nt
Organism: Panicum virgatum (switchgrass)
Lineage: Eukaryota; Viridiplantae; Streptophyta; Magnoliopsida; Poales; Poaceae
Exons: 2
Source: RefSeq, a predicted model, not a curated record